This 279-nucleotide ribosomal RNA is filed under the name uncultured bacterium. Its description in RNAcentral is "partial 16S ribosomal RNA". It matches the Rfam family "Bacterial small subunit ribosomal RNA", at positions 506 to 784 of the family's 1533-position model. The record is from RNAcentral.
UGCCAGCAGCCGCGGUAAUACGAAGGGACCUAGCGUAGUUCGGAAUCAUUGGGUUUAAAGGGUCCGCAGGCGGACGUAUAAGUCAGUGGUGAAAUCCUGCAGCUUAACUGCAGAACUGCCAUUGAUACUGUACGUCUUGAAUUCGGUCGAAGUGGGCGGAAUGUGUAGUGUAGCGGUGAAAUGCAUAGAUAUUACACAGAACACCGAUAGCGAAGGCAGCUCACUAGGCCCGGAUUGACGCUCAGGGACGAAAGCGUGGGGAUCAAACAGGAUUAGAUA